This 497-nucleotide ribosomal RNA is filed under the name uncultured bacterium. RNAcentral describes it as "partial 16S ribosomal RNA". It matches the Rfam family "Bacterial small subunit ribosomal RNA", at positions 28 to 507 of the family's 1533-position model. The record is from RNAcentral.
GAUGAACGCUGGCGGCGUGCCUAAUACAUGCAAGUCGAGCGAACAGACGAGGAGCUUGCUCCUCUGACGUUAGCGGCGGACGGGUGAGUAACACGUGGAUAACCUACCUAUAAGACUGGGAUAACUUCGGGAAACCGGAGCUAAUACCGGAUAAUAUAUUGAACCGCAUGGUUCAAUAGUGAAAGACGGUUUUGCUGUCACUUAUAGAUGGAUCCGCGCCGCAUUAGCUAGUUGGUAAGGUAACGGCUUACCAAGGCAACGAUGCGUAGCCGACCUGAGAGGGUGAUCGGCCACACUGGAACUGAGACACGGUCCAGACUCCUACGGGAGGAGGCAGAGGGGAAUCUUCCGCAAUGGGCGAAAGCCUGACGGAGCAACGCCGCGUGAGUGAUGAAGGUCUUCGGAUCGUAAAACUCUGUUAUUAGGGAGGAACAAAUGUGUAAGUAACUAUGCACGUCUUGACGGUACCUAAUCAGAAAGCCCCGGCUAACUACGUG